This is a long non-coding RNA of Lycium barbarum (goji berry), 607 nucleotides long. RefSeq lists it as uncharacterized. Lineage: Eukaryota; Viridiplantae; Streptophyta; Magnoliopsida; Solanales; Solanaceae. The record is from RefSeq and is a predicted model, not a curated record. The transcript is spliced from 3 exons.
GCUAAGCAAAAUAGAAAAAUAGAGGAAUUAAGUGUAUUAAAUAAAAUAAAAUAAAAAGAGAAUAAAGUAUUAUUGAACAAAGAGGAAAAAUAGUAAAGACUAUGUGGGCCAAGUCCAACAAAAAGAAAGAAAAGAAAAGGGAAUUAAUCCCAUAUGUAAGAAACAGAGAAACAAAGUAGUAGCAGAAACACAGAAACAGAGAAAGAAAACGCCAAGAAAGAAGAGAAAAGAGAGGGAGAAAAAAAGAGGAAAACAGAAGAAAAAAAUAACAACUUUCAUCCCAAAUUAUUAAGUUUGAGGUGAUUCAAAGACUCGAGAACGCAAUUUUGAUUUAUUGGGAAGUGUGCAUGAAUUGUGAAUUUCAGAUAUUGUUGCUGAGGGCGAGACUAUGGCUGAUGAGUUCGUUUGCGUAGAUCCUGUUGCGUUCGUGGAGGCUGUCGUUUUAGCUCUAUCUUGUUUAUAGCAUUUAUUUUCUUUCCAUGGGGUUGCAUCCCCGACAGUUAAAUUGAUGUUACUCUAUUAGAUGCUCCAUGGUCUUAGUGUGGGAUUUGGGCUAGAGAUUCUUAUUUGACGAUCAUUGGAUUUCUUAAAUUGAUACAUUAUUUUG